AAAAGCCMAAAUUUGUAAUCUGGCUCUUUUAGAGUCCGAGUUGUAAUUUUGAGAACUGUUUUCCGUGCUGGACCAUGUACAAGUCUGUUGAAAAACAGCAUCAUUGAGGGUGAAAAUCCCGUUCAUGAUAUGGACUACCAGUGCAAUGUGAUACAGUCUCUAAGAGUCGAGUUGUUUGGGAAUGCAGCUCAAAGUGGGUGGUAAAUUCCAUCUAAGGCUAAAUAUUGGUGAGAGACCGAUAGCAAACAAGUACCGUGAGGGAAAGAUGAAAAGAACUUUGGAAAGAGAGUUAACAGUACGUGAAAUUGUUAAAAGGGAAACAUUUGAAGUUAGACUUGUUAUUGUUGGUUCAGCCUUUUAUAGGGUGUAUUCCAAUGGUUAACAGACCAGCAUCAAUUUUUGGGUGAUGGAAAAGGGUCUUGGAAAUGUAGCAAUUUCGGUUGUGUUAUAGUCCUUGAUUUUGAAUACAUUGCUUAGGAAAAUUACAACUCGGACUCUAAAAGAGCCAGAUUACUA
This 516-nucleotide ribosomal RNA is filed under the name Hyalopsora polypodii. Its description in RNAcentral is "LSU rRNA". It matches the Rfam family "Eukaryotic large subunit ribosomal RNA", at positions 103 to 628 of the family's 3401-position model. Lineage: Eukaryota; Fungi; Basidiomycota; Pucciniomycetes; Pucciniales; Pucciniastraceae. The record is from RNAcentral.